AAAAUUUAAGUGAAAUUUAGCAAAAGAAUUGUUAGCUUUUAUACAUCACAUGUUAAUAAGUAUAAUUUUAUAGAAAAUCUGAAUUGAGACAUCACGAUUUUUACCCAUAUGUAUUUUUUAUCAUCAUGAAAUUAUCCUCUAUAUUUGCACCGCCCUCUGCCUUCACAAUCUCUGUCGUGAAUCGUUAUCCUGAGAGACAGUUGCGCACUAAACCACGCUAAUGUACCGCCUCCGCAAUUCUCUUCAAGGAAAAGGUCGGCCAGUUUGCUCCGGAAAAUGGUAACCACCAGUUCACAUGGCCACGACUUUAAUUUCCAGUUCCUCUUGUGAUUUGGCUCAAAUUCAUCGCGAACAAGAGAAUGCUCAGAUUCGAGGGAGUCAAUUCAUAACUUUAACCCAGGAAAAGAAAAAGGCCUAUGUCAAGGCCUUAUACUAAUGAAGUAGCUUAAAAAGCCUUUUUGGAAUUUGCUAUCAACGACCUCAUUUGGUCGUGAUCAUUAGUGAAUUGGUCCUUCUCAAUCCAUUAUCACCUAUUAUUUUCCAGGUUUUUAUAUGCACCUUGCUGUUGGUGCAAUUAUUUAACUACUGUUAAUGAAAAAUAUGUGCUAGUCUAUGACAUUCUACAUUUUGGAUGCUGUAUAUCUGCUGAUGCAAUUAUUAUGCUCCUAAGUUGUCAUACAAAAACAUGCCAAGAACUGGAACUUAUAGUUUGAUGCAAGAUCCAGAUUUUUUCCUUUAUUUAUUAAGAUUUGAAAAUAAUUAUUUGAGCAUAUGUAAACAUCAGUUAUUUAUCAUUAUCAUGAAACGACUUUUGUGGUGCUUCAAAGUUACACGAUCUUACUAUCAGAUAAUUUCUUGCUGGAGGAACCUUUGUUUGUACGCUAAUAGUUAAUAUUAAAAUUCUUUAAUACUACAAAACGCGAAGAUAUGACUUUGUGACCUAUUGAAGUGGCAAUCUGAAGGGAGAAAAACUGUUCAUUACUUUAUUGAUGCUAUAUAAAAUAUGAGCAUUAUAGAGAAGCAACUUUCUUCAUUUGUAUGAAAAAUUUGAUAUAGAUGAACCAUUAAAAAUAGAAGGAAAAAAAAGGUCGAAUGUGUACAUGUAGAUGCACUUCUAGAUUAGACUAUUUGACAUGUUCAAUAACGGGUAUUUAAAUGCUUAUUUGAAAUAAAAUUAGUGACAAGGACAUUGUACCUGUCAUUGCUAACAAAGUUAUUCACCUCUUUAGAAUGAGGACAUUGUACCUGUUGUUGCUAACAAACUUAUUCACCUCUUUAUCUUCGCAUAGCUCAAGACAAAUCUAAGAGUUGUGACUCAUAGUACUUCUAUGGUUAACCCUUGUUCUAAUGCUUAUUCGCUUUAAUUGUUUUGCCUUUCUCAUGUGUAUUGCACCUCAUUUCACAUUGCUUAUUUUGCUCCAUAGGGGUUGUGCCAUGCAGGAAGCCAUAUGAAUUGAAGUCCAUUUCGAACUACCAAUUUUGCAGGGCUAAGAAGUUUCGAUUUGACGUUUUAUUGCAAUAACUUGGAUAACAGUUGGAUUUAAGAUUUGCUUGCUAUCCUUGUCAACCUAAUUUAGUUUAAUAUUUGGCUUUCAUGGGAGGAACUGGGAAUUUUGUACUAACAGGAAAGCCAAACCUUCUAUCUCAUGUCAUCUUCAUUCAACUUUUUGGUAAAGUUAACUUUGUGACCUCCAGCUGAUGAACCUUCAAAUUGCAAAAUGUAAAGAAGGACGCAUUGAAUAUAUCAAAGUUCGUGAUU
Molecule: non-coding RNA, 1759 nt
Organism: Punica granatum (pomegranate)
Lineage: Eukaryota; Viridiplantae; Streptophyta; Magnoliopsida; Myrtales; Lythraceae
Source: RefSeq, a predicted model, not a curated record